UGCAGGACUUUUCGCCUGUUGAGAGUGU
RNAcentral lists this non-coding RNA (28 nucleotides) under Homo sapiens (human). The record is from RNAcentral. Lineage: Eukaryota; Metazoa; Chordata; Mammalia; Primates; Hominidae.